UGAGGAAUAUUGGUCAAUGGGCGAGAGCCUGAACCAGCCAUGUAGCGUGCAGGAUGACGGCCCUUUGGGUUGUAAACUGCUUUUAUGUGGGGAUAAAGUGCGUGACGUGUCAUGCAUUGCAGGUACCACAUGAAUAAGGACCGGCUAAUUCCGUGCCAGCAGCCGCGGUAAUACGGAAGGUCCGGGCGUUAUCCGGAUUUAUUGGGUUUAAAGGGAGCGUAGGCUGUCUAUUAAGCGUGUUGUGAAAUUUACCGGCUCAACCGGUGGCUUGCAGCGCGAACUGGUCGACUUGAGUAUGCAGGAAGUAGGCGGAAUUCAUGGUGUAGCGGUGAAAUGCUUAGAUAUCAUGACGAACUCCGAUUGCGCAGGCAGCUUACUGUAGCAUAACUGACGCUGAUGCUCGAAAGUGCGGGUAUCAAACAGG
RNAcentral lists this ribosomal RNA (424 nucleotides) under Fusobacteriota bacterium. RNAcentral's name for it is "Fusobacteria bacterium partial 16S ribosomal RNA". It matches the Rfam family "Bacterial small subunit ribosomal RNA", at positions 355 to 776 of the family's 1533-position model. The record is from RNAcentral. Lineage: Bacteria; Fusobacteriati; Fusobacteriota.